Molecule: long non-coding RNA, 4897 nt
Filed under: Sus scrofa (pig)
Lineage: Eukaryota; Metazoa; Chordata; Mammalia; Artiodactyla; Suidae
Description: lncRNA (ENSSSCG00045005274.1)
Source: RNAcentral
AAGAGGUUCCUGAGCCAGGGGUCAAACUUGUGCCACAGCAGUGGCCUGAGACUGCAGUAACAACUGCCAGAUCCUGAAAAUCCACUGCACCACAAGGGAAAUUCAAACUCCCUGAAAAUGUUUAAUAAUUUAUGCAAUGUUUAAAAACGGAAGAAAAAUUAUAAAUUUGUUUUAAACCUCUCUUUAAAAAAAAAAAAAACUUGGUUUAUCACUUUCCGAUUCAGAAAUUCAGAGGCAUGUCUUAAGGAGAAUGUGCUUUAGUACUUCAUUAAACAGUUGCCCUUGGCAGAGCUUUCUUGCCUGCCCACUUGGAUUUCUCACAACCGUCCUAUCCUAAUAAAUCUGUUUCUUGCCUAAUAAAAUAAAAUAAAAUAAAAUAAACAGUCGCCCUUGCUGAAAACAUCCUUACAUAGAAAGACAGAUAUUUAUUUAUUUAUUUAUUAUUUUGCUUUUUGGUGCCGUACCCACAGCUUUUAGAGAUUCCCAGGCUAGGGGUCUAAUCAGAGCUGUUGCUACUGGUCUACACCACAGCCACAGCAAUGCCAGAUCUGAGCCCCGUCUGAGACCUACACCGCAGCUCACGGCAACACCAGAUCCUUAACCCACUGAGCAAGGCCAGGGAUCGAACCCGCAACCUCAUGGUUCCUAGUAGGAUUUGUUUCCACUGGGCCACGGUGAGAACUCCAACAAUUCUUAAUUGUACAAAUAUAGGAGUACAGUGUACAGAUAAAAGAGAUUUUAGAGGUUGCUCUUUUUAAAUUUUUUGUUGGAUUUCAUCAACAAAGAUAAAUUUUACUGUAUGUAAAAAUUAAAAUAAAAAAAUCCAGUGAUUCUUGACAAGUGCGUCGAUAGUCUUAUGCACGGCUGAAAUCUAUUACCAUUUUGUUGCCAGACUCUCCCCUUGCCCUUUAACCUUUGGCAACCAGUGAUCGUUUUUAGCCUAAAGCAUUUCAAACACAUCCAUGUUGUUAUGUGCAUUAACCAUUCCUUUUAUUAUAAAACACUUAUUAUAUGGAUGUACCAGUUUGCUUAUCCAUCUACCAAUUGAGAGAUACUUAGGCUGUUUCCAGUUUGGAUGGUUUUGAACAAAGCCAUAAAAACAUUUUUGUGGGAACACAGGUUUCCAUUUCACUUGGGCAAUCGAAACUGCCAAACUCUUAACCAAGUGUCUCUGCCAUUUUGCAGGGUCUGAGUUCCAGUUGCUGCACAGUCUUUUUUUUUUUUUAGGGCCACACCUGUGGUAUAUGGACGUUCCCAGGCUAGGGAUUGAAUCAAAACUGCAGCUGCCAGCUAUAGCCAUGGCCACAGCCAUAGCAAUGCGGGAUCUGAGCCGCAUCUGUGAUCUACACCACAGCUCACAGCAACACCUGAUCCUUAACCAUUGAGCAAGGCCAGGGAUUGAACCUGCAUCCUCAUGGAUACUAUGCACUUGUCUAGUUCACUGAGACACAACUGGAAAUCUGCUACACAUUCUUGACAGCACGUAGUUUUGUCAGUCACAAUAAAUAAAUAAAUAAAUAAAUUCAGAGUUCCUGCUGUGGCACAGUGGGUUAGGAAUCCAACUGUAGCAGCUUGGGUUGCUGUGGAGGCAUGAGUUCAAUCCCAGCCUGAUGCAGGGGGUUAAAGGAUCCUGUGUUGCUGCAGUGGUGUAGGUCACAGCUGAAGCUCAGAUUUGAUCCCUGGCCUGGAAACUCCAUAUACCGUGGAUGUGGCCAUAAAAAAAUUUUUUUUGACCGUUCUGAUAGGUGUGUAGUGGUGUAGUGAGUGAUACCUGUUUUUAAUUUACAUUCCCCUAAUGAAUAGUGAUGUUGCAUCUUUUCGUGUGCUUAUUUUCCAUCUGUUUCUCUUUGGUGAAGUCUGUUCAGAUCUUUUGACCAUUUUAAAAAUUGUGUUUCUUAUUUUAUUACUGAAUUUUGAGAGUUCGUUAUAGGUUUUAUUUUUUAUUUUUAUUUAUUUAUUUUUUAUUAUUUUGUCUUUUUGCUGUUUCUUGGGCCGCUCCCGUGGCAUAUUGGAGGUUCCCAGGCUGGGGGUCUAAUCGGAGCUGUAGCCACCAGCCUACACCAGGGCCACAGCAACGCAGGAUCCGAGCCGCGUCUGCAGCCUACCCCACAGCUCACGGCAACGCCGGAUCCUUGACUCACUAAGCAAGGCCAGGGAUCGAACCCGCAACCUUAUGGUUCCUAGUCAGAUUUGUUAACCACGGAGCCACAACGGGAACUCCCCGUUAUAUGUUUUAGAUACAAGUUCUUUGUUACAUAACUGGUUUGUGGAUAUUUUUUUUCCAGACUGUAGUUUAUCUUUUCAUUCUCUGAAAAGUGUUUUUCAGAGCAGAAGUUUAAAAUUUUGAUAAUUCAAUUUAUCCCUUUUUAAAAAUAAAUUGUAUUAAAUUGUAGUAACUAAGAAAUCUUUUAUUUUCUGUUUUUUGUCUUUUUAGGGCCGCUCCCACAGCAUAAGGGGGUUCCCAGGCUAGAGGUUGAAUCAGAGCCAUAGCUACUGUCCUACACCACAGCCACAGCAAUCCCAGAUCUGAGCUGCAUCUGCAACCUACACCACAGCUCACAGCAAUGCCGGAUACUUAACCCACUGAGCAAGGCUGGGGAUUGAACCUGCGUCCUCAUGGAUGAUAGUCAGCUUCGUUUCCACUGAGCCAUGUCGGGAACUCCUAAGAAAUCUUUUCUAACACAAAGUUACAAAGAUUUUCUUCUGCAUUUUCUUCUAAAUGUCAUCCAUUUUGGAUUAAUUUUUAUAUCUGCAUACCAACUUUAAAUUAAGAGCUCACAUAAACUGAAAAUACUGCUAAAUACCAGUUUUUGCCAUAGCGCAAGUUCUGUUUCCAUUCCCUGUUACAAUGCUGCCUUUACUUUGAAGGGACAGAUUUAGUGUGUUUAUUUUUUGGAAAAUAUUGUGAAGUCAAUAUUUUUUUUUGUCAGCUCUUUUUUACCACAAAGGCCAGAGAGUUUGGAGUGCUCAUCUUUUUUUUUACAUUUUUAAAGUACGUUGAUGUAAAUGAAUCUUUUUGGGGGAAUUAUAUCCCAUUACAAAAAAUUGCAAGGAUCCUGCUGUUUAAAGAUUGGGUUUUUACAAUAUCAGUCUCAUUAUUGACAUUUUAAAGCACAGAAACAACAGUAUUCAUGAUGAUUUGAAAACAAAGGCGGAGGAAGAGUGCCGCUGUUACCUGCCCUACACCCUGACUCGCACACAGUGAGAGCCCCACUCUUCCUUCUAGACACCUGUACACACAUGACACAUUAUAGUCCAGGGGAGAGAUGGGUAGCACUCCAUAUACUAUGACUGUUGGGUGAAUUUUUUUUUUUGUUUUUAUGGCUGCCCCUAUGCCGUAUGGAUGUUCCCAGGCUAGGGGUUGAAUGGGAGCUGCAGCUGCCGGCCUACCCCUCAGCCACAGCAACAUCAGAUCCAAGCCACAUCUGUGACCUACACUGCAGCUGUGACAAUGCCAGAUCCUUCACUGACUGAGCGAGGCCAGGGAUCAACAUCGGAGGCCACAUCAGGUCCUUAACCUAUUGAGCCACAAUGGGAACUCCAGAUCUUUUUUUUCUUUUAAGAUAAACAUAAAUAGAUAAAAUUGUUAGUGUUUUUCACGGUGCCCCCUAGACUGCAAUAGGAUCAGUAGCGUAUUAGGAGCAUUGGAACAUGUGUUUGAUCCCCAGCCUGGCACAGUGGGUUGAGGAUCUGGUGUUGCCGCAGCUACAGCUUAGGUGACAGCUGUGCCUGGGAUGAUCCUUAGCCCAGGUGCUCCAUAUGCCACAGGGCGACCAAAAAUGAAAAAAAAAAAGUUAUUUUUAGCCUUUUUCCCCCUAUCCUGGAGGAAUGUCUUAUGUACCUCCUGGGGGUACCACAGUCCUGAGAAGUUUCACAAUGCUGCGUCUCUCCCUGCAUUCCCCUUGUGUCUAGCAGAUGGUAGGCAAUCUGUGAGUCUUUGAGAAGUAAAUGUAUUUUCCCGUCUUAAACGGUGAAGUUGGAUUACUUCCUGUUAUCUUUUUCCAACCUGCUUUCUUCUAGAAUCUGUUUUCCCAUAACCAACUUCUAAGCUCUAAUUUGAAGGUCUUGACAGAUGGUUUUUUUGUUUGUUUGUUUUGUUUUUCCUAUGGCCGCACCUGCAGCAUAUGGAGGUUCCCAGGCUAGGGGUCGAAUCAGAGCUGUAGCCACCAGCCUACACCAGAGCCACAGCAACGUGGGAUCUGAGCCGCAUCUGCAACCUAUACCACAGCUCAUGGCAACCUAUACCACAGACCACGGUUGGAUCCUUAACCCACCGGGCGAGGCCAGGGAUUGAACCCGCAACCUCAUGGUUCCUAAUCGGAUUCGUUAGCCACUGAGCCAUGAUGGGAACUCCAACAUAUGUUUCUUAGAGGAUGACAUUCCCAAUUACUCAUACUGUAGGACCACGGAACUGUAAGAGAAUAUAAUUUUGGAGCUGAAAGGGGACUUGGAGUUCUGUUAGUCCAAAUCCUUUAUUAAAAUCCAACCAAAAAAUAAAUGAACUGUGGUUAAGUUCAUAGACUGGAAUAUGAUUCAUUAUUAAAAAGAGAAUGGACUAUUGAUAUAGGCAGUGAAUCGUAAAAGAAUUAUGAAGCAUGAAAGAAGUCAGGCAGAAAUCACUACUUAAUGUCUGAUUUCAUGUAUUAAAACUUAUGGAAAAUACAAACUAUAGUGACAGUAGACAGGGGCUGCCUGAGGAUGAGGAGGGAAGGGACAGCUGGAUUCAGAGGGACACGAGGAAACUUGGGUAUGAUAGUCCAUUAUCAUGUUGUGGUGAUGGUUUUGCAGGUAUAUGCAGAUGCACAACUCAUCAAAUGGUACAUUUUAAAUAUGCACAGUUUAUUAUUAUAUGUCUGUUAGAUAGCAAUAAAGCCAUUUAAAGAAAAAAAAAAAAAAA